UACGUAGGGGGCAAGCGUUGUCCGGAAUUAUUGGGCGUAAAGAGCUCGUAGGCGGUCUGUCGCGUCGGCUGUGAAAACCCGGGGCUCAACCCCGGGCCUGCAGUCGAUACGGGCAGACUAGAGUGCGGUAGGGGAGACUGGAAUUCCUGGUGUAGCGGUGAAAUGCGCAGAUAUCAGGAGGAACACCGGUGGCGAAGGCGGGUCUCUGGGCAGUAACUGACGCUGAGGAGCGAAAGCGUGGGGAGCGAACAGG
RNAcentral lists this ribosomal RNA (253 nucleotides) under uncultured bacterium. RNAcentral's name for it is "partial 16S ribosomal RNA". It matches the Rfam family "Bacterial small subunit ribosomal RNA", at positions 524 to 776 of the family's 1533-position model. The record is from RNAcentral.